Non-coding RNA from Dendroctonus ponderosae (mountain pine beetle), 127 nucleotides. NCBI's taxonomy places the organism in Eukaryota, Metazoa, Arthropoda, Insecta, Coleoptera, Curculionidae. The record is from Rfam.
UGAGGGGUUUUUAGUGGGUAGGCAGCCCCGCGGGACUGAAUCCCACAUAACCUAGCCGACAAUGAACAUCGUCGGCACAAAAUCCAGCACAACAUCGGCUGAGUAUCUUUGGAAGAUUUUCCCCUCA